UACGAAGGGUGCAAACGUUAUUCGGAUUAAUUGGGCGUAAAGGGUGCGUAGGCGGCAUAUUAAGUCAACUGUUAAAUUCUCCGGCCUAACCGGAGGUCAGCAGUAGAUACUGGUGUGCUAGAGGGCGGAAGAGAGAAGUGGAAUUCUUGGAGUAGCGGUAAAAUGUGUAGAUCUCAAGAGGAACACCGAUGGCGAAGGCAGCUUCUUGGUCCGUUUCUGACGCUGAUGCACGAAAGCGUGGGGAGCAAACAGG
RNAcentral lists this ribosomal RNA (253 nucleotides) under uncultured bacterium. Its description in RNAcentral is "partial 16S ribosomal RNA". It matches the Rfam family "Bacterial small subunit ribosomal RNA", at positions 524 to 776 of the family's 1533-position model. The record is from RNAcentral.